GGAGGGUGCAAGCGUUAAUCGGAAUUACUGGGCGUAAAGCGUGCGUAGGCGGUUUAUUAAGUCAGAUGUGAAAGCCCCGGGCUUAACCUGGGAACUGCAUUUGAAACUGGUCAACUAGAGUAUGGUAGGGGAAAGUGGAAUUUCUGGUGUAGCGGUGAAAUGCGUAGAUAUCAGAAGGAACAUCAAUGGCGAAGGCAGCUUUCUGGACCAAUACUGACGCUGAGGUACGAAAGCGUGGGUAGCAAACAGGAUUAGAUACCCUGGUAGUCCACGCCGUAAACGAUGAUAACUAGCCGUUGGGGGGAUUUACCCCUUAGUGGCGAAGCUAACGCGUUAAGUUAUCCGCCUGGGGAGUACGGCCGCAAGGCUAAAACUCAAAGGAAUUGACGGGGACCCGCACAAGCGGUGGAGCAUGUGGUUUAAUUCGAUGCAACGCGAAGAACCUUACCUGGUCUUGACAUCCUGCGAACUUUCUAGAAAUAGAUUGGUGCCUUCGGGAACGCAGUGACAGGUGCUGCAUGGUUGUCGUCAGCUCGUGUCGUGAGAUGUUGGGUUAAGUCCCGUAACGAGCGCAACCCCUAUCCUUAUUUGCCAGCACAUUAUGGUGGGAACUAUAAGGAGACUGCCGGUGAUAAACCGGAGGAAGGCGGGGACGACGUCAAGUCAUCAUGGCCCUUACGACCAGGGCUACACACGUGCUACAAUGGGAAGUACAAAGAGUCGCGAAGCCGCGAGGUGUAGCUAAUCUCACAAAUCUUCUCGUAGUCCGGAUUGGAGUCUGCAACUCGACUCCAUGAAGUCGGAAUCGCUAGUAAUCGUAGAUCAGAAUGCUACGGUGAAUACGUUCCCGGGUCUU
RNAcentral lists this ribosomal RNA (856 nucleotides) under uncultured organism. Its description in RNAcentral is "bacterial SSU rRNA". It matches the Rfam family "Bacterial small subunit ribosomal RNA", at positions 527 to 1382 of the family's 1533-position model. The record is from RNAcentral.